This is a non-coding RNA of Eptesicus fuscus (big brown bat), 70 nucleotides long. The record is from RefSeq and is marked provisional. Lineage: Eukaryota; Metazoa; Chordata; Mammalia; Chiroptera; Vespertilionidae.
UUCGCCCCUUUGAGCCAUGGCCGUGCAGACCCCACAUGCAAUGGACUAAUGGACUGCAACGGGAAACACA